GCCAGUGUGACAUAGUGGUUUGAGUGUUGGACUACAACUGUGGAGACCAGGGCUCAAUUCCCAGCUUUGCCA
This 72-nucleotide transfer RNA is filed under the name Phrynosoma platyrhinos (Desert horned lizard). RNAcentral describes it as "tRNA-OTHER". Lineage: Eukaryota; Metazoa; Chordata; Lepidosauria; Squamata; Phrynosomatidae. The record is from RNAcentral.